This 441-nucleotide ribosomal RNA is filed under the name uncultured bacterium. RNAcentral describes it as "partial 16S ribosomal RNA". It matches the Rfam family "Bacterial small subunit ribosomal RNA", at positions 338 to 795 of the family's 1533-position model. The record is from RNAcentral.
CCUACGGGGGGCAGCAGUGGGGAAUAUUGGGCAAUGGGCGCAAGCCUGACCCAGCAACGCCGCGUGAAGGAAGAAGGCUUUCGGGUUGUAAACUUCUUUUAAGAGGGAAGAGCAGAAGACGGUACCUCUUGAAUAAGCCACGGCUAACUACGUGCCAGCAGCCGCGGUAAUACGUAGGAUGCGAGCGUUAUCCGGAUUUAUUGGGUUUAAAGGGUGCGUAGGCGGGCUGUUAAGUCAGCGGUAAAAGCCCGGGGCUCAACCCCGGCGAGCCGUUGAAACUGGCUGUCUUGAGAUGUCGAGAGGUAUGCGGAAUGCGCAGUGUAGCGGUGAAAUGCUUAGAUAUUGCGCAGAACUCCGAUUGCGAAGGCAGCAUACCGGCGGCGAUCUGACGCUGAGGCACGAAAGCGUGGGUAUCGAACAGGAUUAGAUACCCCUGUAGUC